UACGAAGGGGGCUAGCGUUGCUCGGAAUCACUGGGCGUAAAGCGCACGUAGGCGGACUCUUAAGUCGGUGGUGAAAUCCUGGAGCUCAACUCCAGAACUGCCUUCGAUACUGAGAGUCUUGAGUCCGGGAGAGGUGAGCGGAAUAUGUCAUGUAGCGGUGAAAUGCUUAGAUAUGACAUAGAACACCAAUUGCGAAGGCAGCUCACUACACGGUAAUUGACACUGAGGCACGAAAGCGUGGGGAUCAAACAGG
RNAcentral lists this ribosomal RNA (253 nucleotides) under uncultured bacterium. RNAcentral describes it as "partial 16S ribosomal RNA". It matches the Rfam family "Bacterial small subunit ribosomal RNA", at positions 524 to 776 of the family's 1533-position model. The record is from RNAcentral.